This 416-nucleotide transfer-messenger RNA is filed under the name Candidatus Magasanikiibacteriota bacterium. It matches the Rfam family "transfer-messenger RNA". Rfam says of the family: Bacterial tmRNA, also known as 10Sa RNA or SsrA, is named for its dual tRNA and mRNA-like properties. Its role is to liberate the mRNA from a stalled ribosome. The record is from RNAcentral. Lineage: Bacteria; Candidatus Magasanikiibacteriota.
GGGGAUGUAUUGUUUCGACAGGAAUUGCUCUUUAAAAACUGCAAGCCGAAUAUGAUUCUAAAGCGCGUUAAGCUUUGAAUUAAACUUACGUGCAAGUAACAAAGCACAACAGUUCUUAGCAGCUGUAAGCGGAGCCUUUGGCGACGUUUUCGGUUCGCGAGAGCUUGCUAUUGCGACUGCCUAAAAACAGCGCAUAGCAUGUCUUUUUAGUUUUCUCUUGGUGAGGCUAAAACGGCAAAAACUUAGCCAAGAUAGUCCACUCAUCUGAUCAAUGGGCGAGACGAAACUUUGAUCUUUGUUUAAGUUUUUCCUGCUGGCCGGUUACAAAUUUAAACGAGAUUUUAUUGACCAACUAAGCUUGUAGAUGUUUUUAUUUUGUUUUCUUGGACCCGGGCUCAAACCCGGCAUCUCCACAA